Molecule: ribosomal RNA, 1793 nt
Filed under: Triticum aestivum (bread wheat)
Lineage: Eukaryota; Viridiplantae; Streptophyta; Magnoliopsida; Poales; Poaceae
Description: partial small subunit ribosomal RNA
Source: RNAcentral
GCGAGGCGAUUAGGGAGGCAGUGAAAGAGGGGAUGGUUUUUAGGGAAGGCGACCGCAGGGGUACUUCCGUCCGUGCGUCGGACAUCUGUGUAGUAGCGGUGGCGAGGAGGCGAGGCGGCCGGCAGGUCCGGGUGCGGUACGGAAGAGGGGUGCGCCGUAGCGGAGGUAGCCGGGAGGUGCGGGGUGAAGGGAACAGCCUCCAGGGAGGUAGAAAAGUGAAGGAGCCAGCUCUACGGCGGCGGGUUGGUGGCGUAGAGUGGGCGCCCGGAGAAGCCGCGGGGACUGGGCGGCGGGAGGGUCACGAGGGAGUGUGGAGAGGGAAGAGCCACGGGUGUUCGGCAGGAGGACCGCGAGGGGUGAGGUAGGGUGUUUCUGUUUUAGCUCUGCCGCCGUCCACGGGCGUAGCGGCCGAGCGGCGUGAAGCGACCGGUUGUUGGCAGCGCCCGCAAGGGACUAGGGAAGCUCGUCGUCGUCGUUACCCGCGGGUUAGGGGAGGUACGCAGGCACGAGAGGCGGACCCUCAACGAGACAACGGUCCAAGUCCUUCUCGAUAAAACACGUGUACUCAACGAUAACCGUCACCUGUUUAAUAGAUACGUCUCUCGAAUCUCUUUUUUUUACAUUGGAGGGUUCAUCUGAUAGAGACCGUCUCCUUUUGAAGGUGGCUUAGCUGUACUUCGAGGUAUGGGUACACCCACGAGCCCGCCACCGCUACUGACGCGGCCGCGGUUGUACGGUAGGGAAUCGGACGAAACGAACUACGGUCGGAGCGGCGGACGCAGCCUCUCCGUUGACAUCCAGUCCUACGAGGCCCUCUAGUGGUGCGAACCCGUUCUACUCGCAGUGUAGGACCAGGUCGUUCCUCCUAGUAUACACAUGGUUCUGGCCUCUUCUCGCGGCCGUUUCUUAUGCUCCGCUUCCUCCUCAAACUUCGAGCUCAACGCCGUACUCGUCUCAGGUUCUUCACAUUUGAACGUAGUUCAGUGCUUGUUUUAGAGGUGCAUAAAAGAAGACUUAGAACACAACAAAACCAGUACUACCUAGUCUAUAGUUUCCUUCCUCCACUGCUAUGUCCUCACCCUCUUGACGGUCUUUAGGUUUAAGCUUCGGUUCUACUUACGUCUCGAGUCGUAGGUACUUGAACAACGUGGCAGGUCUAUUCUGACUUUGUUUAGAGUCGACCAACAUUAACACGUUUAAAAUAAAGUCCACGUCCGGCUCUUCCGCCCCCACUUCUUGUUGAAGUGGUUCUCCGAAGGGUGUAACUCCGUGUUCCACCUCCCCUUCGUUCACUCCCAGCUCCACUCUGCCCUGGUCGUCCGUCAGACCAACCGCGCUGUCCACCUCGCGUAGACCUUCUGGCCUGUGCACGGCAGGGCCAAGGUCACAACGUUGACCAAGGACACGACUUUUGGUUUGUUUAAAGUCUAACGCAGACUUUACGUUAGAGUGACUUCUUCGAACUUACAGAGCUACGUUCGGCACCCUGUUCUACGUGUACGUUAAUAAACUUAGCCACACGACGUCUACAACCAAACGACACAUCAGACAUGUUAGACUUACCGAUACUGGACUCGAUGUCAUCGUGCAAUGGUAACUAUUGUACUCCAUUACGAUUACCAGACCACCGAUUACAUCACUCUAGAACUUUAGUAGGAAAGAAAUUUGAAUCACCAUUACCAUCUUUUUAUUUUUUAUACCGUAAAAUAGAUCCUUUCUAUAUAUAGCCAACGAGUCAAGGUCCUACCUUAGACCGAACGAACGACGAAACGGUAUUCGGUAAAAACAAACGC